UACGGAGGGUGCAAGCGUUAUCCGGAUUCCCUGGGUUUAAAGGGUGCGUAGGCGGGUUGGUAAGUCCGUGGUGAAAUCUCCGAGCUUAACUCGGAAACUGCCGUGGAUACUAUCAAUCUUGAAUAUCGUGGAGGUAAGCGGAAUAUGUCAUGUAGCGGUGAAAUGCUUAGAUAUGACAUAGAACACCAAUUGCGUAGGCAGCUUACUACACGAUCAUUGACGCUGAGGCACGAAAGCGUGGGGAGCAAACAGG
This 253-nucleotide ribosomal RNA is filed under the name uncultured bacterium. RNAcentral describes it as "partial 16S ribosomal RNA". It matches the Rfam family "Bacterial small subunit ribosomal RNA", at positions 524 to 776 of the family's 1533-position model. The record is from RNAcentral.